CUUGUACUCCACUCAGAAAAGGGCACAGGUGAGGAUGAACCACAGCACAAAAAAUGGCACCAGGGCAGCAUGAACAACCUCAGCCAAAAGGUUUGUGAGAGCAUCCUGUGGCAAUGCUGUGACACGUCAGCGCUGCAGACAGAAGCGUUCUCUGAGGUUAGGGGUGAUGAAAGGCAGAGUUUGUCCUGCCUGGCAGAGGGAACGAAGUGAGAGCACCAAAAGCUGCUGUCCUGCUCGCUGGUGGCAGGACAAAGCAGGAGCUGGCAGCAGCAGCAGCCUCUGCCGUGUGUGUUACAGAGGUGCACAGUCACGGUGCAUGGCUGCAGCACAGCUGGUUCAGUCACGGUGCCUGGCAGUGCCCGCUGCACAGCUGCAUCAGUCACAGUGCACAGCUGCAGCACAGCUGCAUCAGUCACGGUGCAUGGCUGCAGCACAGCUGGAUCAGUCACGGUGAACGGCUGCAGCACAGCUGGACCAGUCACGGUGCAUGGCUGCAGCACAGCUGCAUCACUCAUGGUGCAUGGCUGCAGCACAGCUGCAUCACUCACGGUGCCUGGCAGUGCCCACUGCACAGCUGCAUCACUCACGGUGCCUGGCAGUGCCCGCUGCACAGCUGCAUCACUCACGGUGCAUGGCUGCAGCACAGCUGGACCAGUCACGGUGCAUGGCUGCAGCACAGCUGCAUCACUCACGGUGCCUGGCAGUGCCCGCUGCAGAGCUGGAUCAGUCACAGUGCACAGCUGCAGCCGCUGCACAGCUGGAUCAGUCACGGUGCCUGGCAGUGUCCACUGCACAGCUGGAUCAGUCACGGUGCAUGGCUGCAGCACAGCUGCAUCAGUCACAGUGCAUGGCUGCAGCCGCUGCACAGCUGCAUCACUCACGGUGCAUGGCUGCAGCACAGCUGGACCAGUCACGGUGCAUGGCUGCAGCACAGCUGGAUCACUCACGGUGCAAGGCUGCAGCACAGCUGCAUCACUCACGGUGCAUGGCUGCAGCACAGCUGCAUCACUCACGGUGCAUGGUGCAGCACAGCUGGACCAGUCACGGUGCCUGGCAGUGUCCGCUGCACAGCUGCAUCACUCACGGUGCAUGGUGCAGCACAGCUCUAACUCAGCUGAAGCAGAGUGUUUCUAUUGAGCAGAUUGGUCACCAGGACCUUUCCAGGUGGGACUGGAGACUCGGGUGAGCUGAAGAGGAGCGGGCUGGCCCCAGCUCCCCUCGCUGCCUGCAGCCGUGCUGGGUGUCUCAGCAGGGCAUUGCCCCCUCUCCCACCCAGCAGCUCUGCCCACCGGCGCUGCGGAGCCCCGUGGCUGCCGCAGGAGUGGGAGCAGAUGCCGGGUAAGUUAUUAAGUGUCACUUCCAAUUCAGCCUGACAAGAAUGAGUUAAUGGAGGAGCCCCGUUACAAUGGCAGACAGGAAAAUAAAAGCCACGCUGAAUCCUCUUUCCUUGUCUCC
This 1455-nucleotide long non-coding RNA is filed under the name Chloebia gouldiae (Gouldian finch). Its description in RNAcentral is "Erythrura gouldiae (Gouldian finch) lncRNA (ENSEGOG00005018837.1)". The record is from RNAcentral. Lineage: Eukaryota; Metazoa; Chordata; Aves; Passeriformes; Passeridae.